UCUCGCGAUGGGUAAAUACCUCUCCGGAUUGGAUUAGUACAACUCUCGCGAUGAACCGGCCUCUUCCUUGGCCGUCGUUGACACAGGUUAGUCGUGCCACUCUUCCCAGGACUGGCCUUUCUAUCCUAAAAUGUGCUUUAAUGUUGUUUAAUUGUUGCGUAAACACUUCGUAAGGCACAUUAAGGCUCUGAUACGUUAGAUUAUGUAGUUUGAGGAUGCGGAUGGCUGUUUUAUAUGAGAGAAUAAAGCGUAGUAGAGGAGCUCCGUAUGAUGGGAGUUCUGAGGCAGAAGUUAGCUUAGCAGGCCGUGCAUGUGUUCAGAAAGAAAGAAUGUUUCCCCGGUAAAUGCAGUAGACUCGAUAUUCAAAGCUCUAUGUAUGUUUAGUUUUGUGUGAAAUAAGACUGAAUACUUCUGUUUGCCACGUUAACCACUGAAGCUCGGUUGUAUCGGAGGUACAUGGCAGUUGAAACAUGCUAACUCCCUCAGAGCUAGCUUGUGGCUAACAUGCUGUUUGUUUGUAACACAGUCUAGCUUACUUUGUGGCUGUUUGAUAUGUUGGGGGUUAAUGUUGAAAGUAUCACUAUUUAAGUUCAUAUAUUGGCUAGGGUUGUGACUUAGCCUGCUGUACUCAAUUAGCAUUAAGCUGGUCAUAGCCUAGCCUAAAUGCAUGCUAGUUUGAUGGAGCUCCACCACGAUACCAAGAUAGCAUAAGUGUGUUGAGAUGCCGUUGAUGCUUAUCUAACCUUUCAUGUUUUUAUUUACCUCCACAGAAACAACGGCCAUGUUCAGUACCAGCGCCAAAAUAGUGAAGCCUAAUGGCGAAAAGCCUGACGAGUUCGAGUCUGGGAUCUCCCAGGCUCUGCUCGAGCUGGAGAUGAACUCCGACCUCAAGGCUCAGCUGCGAGAGCUGAACAUCACUGCAGCAAAGG
This is a long non-coding RNA of Notothenia coriiceps (black rockcod), 929 nucleotides long. RefSeq lists it as uncharacterized. The record is from RefSeq and is a predicted model, not a curated record. The transcript is spliced from 2 exons. Lineage: Eukaryota; Metazoa; Chordata; Actinopteri; Perciformes; Nototheniidae.